GACGAACGCUGGCGGCGUGCUUAACACAUGCAAGUCGAAGAUAGUGGCGAACGGGUGAGUAAUACGUGGGUAACCUGACCUCCUUUUUGGGCUAAGCCUUGGAAACGGUGUCUAAUAACUAAUUGAGGGGGCUGGGCUCGCGUCGUAUCAGGUUGGUGGUGGGGUGCUGGCCUACCAAGGCGUUGACGGGUAGCCGGCCUGCGAGGGUGACCGUCAACCUUGGGACUGUGAUACGGCCCAGACUACUACGGGAGGCAGCAGUGGGGGAUAUAGCACAAUGGGUGAAAGACUGAUGCAGCGACGCCGCGUGGGGGAUGAAGUCUUUGGGGUUGUAAACCUCGUUCGCAAUCGAUCGGGUAGGUGGAGAAGAAGCGCCGGCUAACUACGUGCCAGCAGCCGCGGUAAUUC
RNAcentral lists this ribosomal RNA (408 nucleotides) under uncultured bacterium. RNAcentral describes it as "partial 16S ribosomal RNA". It matches the Rfam family "Bacterial small subunit ribosomal RNA", at positions 28 to 526 of the family's 1533-position model. The record is from RNAcentral.